GAAAAUCCACCAUCUACCCGAGAAGCGGGUAGGUCAUGUCAACUCCCAAAAGCAGCAAGCCAAGGAAACAGGGGAAUAGUACUAUAUAACGGGAGAAUAGUACUAUAUGCAUGGACCAACCUAUAUAUGGCUGUAGAGGCAUAUGCAGAGCUGCAACAGCAAUCAAGGAUGCAUCAAAGCAAUACCAUCUCUGAGGUCAACAUCUCCCAUCAAGGAAGUCAUAAGAAA
RNAcentral lists this long non-coding RNA (228 nucleotides) under Setaria italica (foxtail millet). RNAcentral's name for it is "long non-coding RNA (SITA_LNC006620)". Lineage: Eukaryota; Viridiplantae; Streptophyta; Magnoliopsida; Poales; Poaceae. The record is from RNAcentral.